AGAGUUUGAUCCUGGCUCAGAACGAACGCUGGCGGCGUGCCUAAUACAUGCAAGUCGUGCGAGAAAGUUCCGCUUCGGUGGAGCGAGUAAAGCGGCAAACGGGUGAGUAACACGUAAGCAAUCUGCCCUUAAGUUCGGAAUAACCUUGCCAACGCGGGGGUAAUACCGGAUGUGGUCACGAGGUCGCAUGGCCUUGUGAUUAAAGAUGACCUCUUCUUGAAAGUUAUCGCUUGAGGAUGAGCUUGCGCACCAUUAGCUUGUUGGUGGGGUAACGGCCUACCAAGGCUGCUAUGGUUAGCCGACCUGAGAGGGUGAUCGGCCACAUUGGGACUGAGAUACGGCCCAGACUCCUACGGGAGGCAGCAGUAGGGAAUUUUGCGCAAUGGACGAAAGUCUGACGCAGCAACGCCGCGUGAGGGAUGAAGGGUUUCGGCUCGUAAACCUCUGUUGAGUGGGAAGAAAAGCCUUACGGUUAAUACCCGUAAGGUAUGACGGUACCAUUCGAGGAAGCUCCGGCUAACUACGUGCCAGCAGCCGCGGUAAUACGUAGGGGGCAAGCGUUGUUCGGAAUCACUGGGCGUAAAGGGAGUGUAGGCGGGAGAGUAAGUCAGGAGUCUAACCCACGGGCCUAACCCGUGGCCGGCUUUUGAUACUGCUUUUCUUGAGUAUGGGAGAGGAAGAUGGAAUUCCAGGUGUAGCGGUGGAAUGCGUAGAUAUCUGGAAGAACACCAGUUGCGAAGGCGGUCUUCUGGCCCAAUACUGACGCUGAGGCUCGAAAGCUAGGGGAGCAAACAGGAUUAGAUACCCUGGUAGUCCUAGCCAUAAACGAUGGACACUAGUUGGUGGAGGGGGUCAAUCCCUUCACUGACGAAGCUAACGCAUUAAGUGUCCCGCCUGGGGAGUACGCUCGCAAGGGUGAAACUCAAAGGAAUUGACGGGGGCCCGCACAAGCGGUGGAGCAUGUGCUUUAAUUCGAUCCACGCUAAGAACCUUACCUGGGCUUGACAUGUGAGUGAAAGUUUUCAGAGAUGAAAUCCCUUCCGCAAGGAACACUCAACACAGGUGCUGCAUGGUUGUCGUCAGCUCGUGUCGUGAGAUGUUGGGUUAAGUCCCGCAACGAGCGCAACCCCCGUCCUUAGUUGCCAUCAGGUAAUGCUGGGAACUCUAGGGAGACUGCCUGGUCACAACCAGGAGGAAGGUGGGGAUGACGUCAAAUCAUCAUGGCUCUUACGUCCAGGGCUAGACACGUGCUACAAUGGUCGGUACAAUGGGUUGCGACAUCGCGAGAUGGAGCCAAUCCCCAAAACCGGCCUCAGUUCAGAUUGGAGUCUGCAAUUCGACUCCAUGAAGGUGGAAUCGCUAGUAAUCGCGGAUCAGCAUGCCGCGGUGAAUACGUUCCCGGGCCUUGUACACACCGCCCGUCAAGCCAUGAAAGAUGGGAGUACCCGAAGUCAUAGCCUUAACCGCAAGGAAGGGCGUGCCGAAGGUAAGACCAUUGAUUGGGGCUAAGUCGGAACAAGGUA
Molecule: ribosomal RNA, 1523 nt
Filed under: metagenome
Description: bacterial SSU rRNA
Rfam family: Bacterial small subunit ribosomal RNA
Source: RNAcentral